Ipomoea nil (Japanese morning glory) is the source of this 299-nucleotide long non-coding RNA. RefSeq lists it as uncharacterized. NCBI's taxonomy places the organism in Eukaryota, Viridiplantae, Streptophyta, Magnoliopsida, Solanales, Convolvulaceae. The transcript is spliced from 3 exons. The record is from RefSeq and is a predicted model, not a curated record.
CAUCAUACCAACUACAGGGUUGAUUUAUCUCCUAGUUGUUAUAUCCCAGGGAGUUAAUCAGAAAUUGAAGGAAAAAAGGAGCUGGUUGAAAUAUGCAGGAAUGAUGAAUCCGAGGACACCGUUUUGGCCAAAAAGAAGUUGACAGAUACUUAGGAAUUUCUUCUGGUUUUCUGUUCAUCUUCUUCCAGAGUCCCUUUUGUUUUCUUCUGGAUUGAGCUACGUGGCAGCAGAUGCAUAGAUUAGGGGUUGUUAUUUGUUUGUUGCUUUCAGAAUUAUUCCUUAAAUUAGUUGGUCUUCAA